Long non-coding RNA from Psammomys obesus (fat sand rat), 2807 nucleotides. RefSeq lists it as uncharacterized. The transcript has 3 exons. Lineage: Eukaryota; Metazoa; Chordata; Mammalia; Rodentia; Muridae. The record is from RefSeq and is a predicted model, not a curated record.
GAGCCUCCGCCUGCGCCUCCCGCCCAACCCCGGCGAGCCUGGGGACGGUGACACCUCGUUCCCGGGUUCCUCCUGGAACUUCUGUGCGACUUUUGUUUAAGAAUGCGGAAAGCGUCCUCCCCUCCUCGCAGUUCAGCCACUUAGCCCGGCAGGCGGUCGCCCACAGAACUCUGUAAUUACGUGCCAUUUCCCUCCCACCCUCCACACUCGGUGCUUAAUUAUAAACUCCCAGGAGCCGAGCACUGCUCCUCCCGGACGCGGUGUGUGGAACUGCUGGGUCUCACUGGCCGGCAAAAGCGUUAGUUAGGCGAUGAGCCUCUCCACUCAGGAGAGUUUAGGCUUUAUUCUUGGAUUCUGUCCCUCUGUGUCACUGUGUCUCUCUCUCUGUCUCUGUCUCUCUUCACACACACACACACACACACCCCACACACACACACAAACUCACAGAGAUCCUCCUGCCUCUGCCUCCCGAGUGCUGGGCCACUGCCGGGCUAUUCUUGGAUUCUUGCUUGGAGGGCUGAGGUUUUGGAAAGCUGGUGAUUGGUUUAGGAAGUUCGGGCGGACGUGAUUUUAGAGCUCACGGAAGAAAGGCCGUGACAUGAGGCCCCUUGCAGUUCAGUUGCUGUGGACAGCCGUGCGCUGCGUGUUCCUUCAGGACAGAAAUCUUUACGUUUCCAGCUCCUACCACCUAAUCAACACACUUUGCAACCAGCGAAUGACUAAAGAGUGAAGUUUGCUGAGAGCUUGGGGCCAUGGAGUUGGCUCAGCUCAGGCGGGUAACAUCACCUGCCGGUCUUGGUGGAGUGAUAACCACUUGAAGAGAUUUGCUCUUGAAGUGUCAGUGAACUACAGAGCCUGUGCUGACUGUGUGGCUAUAGUCAUUCAAAGCCCGUCUUAACACAGUACUUUAACCAUUAAAAGGCCAGGUCUGGACGUUAUUCCAUGUGCUUGCUGGGGUCCAGCACCCAUAGGUUGACUCCCGACGUCCUCUUCUGGCCUCUCUGUGCAUCGGGCAUGAGCAUGAUGCACAGAUACACUUGCAGACAAAACACACAGACACAUAAAAUAUUUUUUUUUUUAUUUUCCCAGAGUUUCCCUGUGUAUCACGUGCUAAAGAAAACAGGUGGAUGGGCUGGUGCGGUGGCAAACGCCUUCAAUCCUCGCACUGGGGAGGCAGAGACAGAACAGGGUGGCAGCUCCAGGCUGGUCCGGUCUACAUGUCAGACCGUCCCUGAAGGAGAAGGGUGAAUGGAGGAGAAGAAAGAAGGAAGGAGGAAGAAGAAUUUGGUGACUAGGACAAAAAGAUAAAAUAUAAACGUAUCAUGUGGAGCCUGAAUACUUGCAAGUAAGGUGUUUGAUCUGCAUGCCCAUCUGCACACCAGAAGGAGGCAUCGGAUCCCAUGGGACUUCAGUUAUGCGUGGCUGUGAGCCACCUUGGGGUGCUGAGAAUUGAACGCAGGACCUCUGGAAGAACAGCCAGAGCUUGUAACUCCUGACCUGUCUCCCAAUAACCUCACACCGACUGGUGAUACAUCUGCUAGUUUUCUUAACAAGAUAUUUACAACAGAGGCGGAAGACAGUCAACAGAUCCGAGAGUCCUUUCCAUGUCAUCUUUCCAGAGCUGUGAGUAUUAGUGGUUAAUGGUAAUUUCCCCCUCCAUUUCAGUACUUUUUCCCUAAUUUUCCAGUUCUGAUAUCUGGGAGGUUUUCAUUCAUUAAUUCAGUGUGGUGGGAAGAAAAUAAAGAGAAGAAAGGCGAGCGGAAACUGCUCUGGUAUCAACACUCCCAUUUCGUUCUUUUCAUCUUUAUGCCCUUGAUAGCUCUGCCAGGCUGGGACACACAGCUCAUUUCUAAAUGUGGUGCCAAGCCACCAAUCAGUGACAGCCAAGCCCUGAGUGUCAUGUAUUUGUGUAUCUGAGAUUGUCAGCAUCCUUCCCAGUGACUCUAAGGAUUCUCAGGCUUCAGCCAGCCUGGAACUCCAUCUCACUGGCCCCUCACUUUGUGCUCACAUGCUCACGGGCACCUUGAACAUACUCUGUCCUGAUCUGAAAAUACAGCUUGACCCCUUUUAUAUUGAUUUCACAAAGUAUUUUAAACAUGGGAAGUUGCUGCCAGCAGGAUUCCAGAGAACAUUUGAGAAUCCUGGCAGAGGUGAUGUUUCCGGACAAUCCAAGGAAGACCAGAUAACCACUUAAAGUAGAAUAUUAAAUGUUGCUUCUUUCUUUUCUUUUCUUUCUUUUGUUUAAGGCAAGAUCUCAUGUAGUUCAGGCUCACACCAGAUUUUCUAUGUAGGGUACAUAGUAGUAAAUGACCUUGAACUUCUGAUUUUCCUGCCUUGACUCUAAAUCCUACUGUCACAAGCAUGUGCUGUUACAUUUAGUUUUAUGCAAUUAUGGGGAUCAGAACACAGGGCUUCAGGCAUGCCAGGCAGGCACUCUACCAACUGAACUGGGGAAGAUUACCUGAGGGGAAGGACCCUCCUCCAGAGAGGACAGCCCUUCCCAGCAGCAAGGAAGACCUAGAAGGCAGGAGGGAAAACCACCCGUUUCUAGAAGAGUGUCCGUGUUUCCUCCAGUCCUGAAGCCGACUGCACCUACACCGCACUCUGCCCCACUGCCGUAUCUGCCCUUGGUUUUCGCGUCUUGUUUUUCUUAUAUCAGAGCUACCUUCUUUAAGCUCGCACCACAGGCUGAAGACCAGUGGCGCUCCGCGAACCCUGCACAACCUCAGCACCAGAUUGGAACUGAUUAGGCAUCCAGCAUUUUGGACUCAGCAGCUAUUCAGCAAGCCAAACUAAUAAAUCCCUAU